UAAACAGUAAGGAUCAAAAUUUAAUUAUAAGUCUGUUUGUUUUAUCUUCUGAAAUAAAUUUAAACAUGAGAAUGAUUUUUAUACGACCGCAAAAAAAUUUUUGUGGUAUAUUGGUAUGACAUUGGCGGCGGCGUCGUCCGAAGACACAUUAGUUUUCGCACUCUAACUUUAGUUUAAGUGAAUGGAUCUCAAUGAAAUUUUACCAUAAGGUUCAAUACCACAAAAGGAAGGUGGGGAUUGAUUUUGGGGGUUAUGGUACUAACAGUUAAGGAAUUAGGGGCCAAAAGGGGCCAAAAAUAAGCAUUUUUGUAACUUCCAGACAUAACUUGUGUGUAAGUGUAUGGAUCUCUCUGACAUUGUACCACAAGGUUCCAUAUCACAAAGGGAAUGCUGGGAUUGAUUUUGGGGGUAAUUGCCUCCAAAUUUUAGGAAUUGGGGGCCAAAAAGGGGCAAAAAACAAGCAUUUUUAUACGACCAUGACAAUAUCUUGUUUGUAAGUGUAUGGAUCUUUAUGAAAUUGUACUACAAGGUUCCAUAUCACAAAAGGAAUACUGGGAUUGAUUUUUGGGGUAAUUUCCUCCAAAUUUUAGGAAUUAGGGGCCAAAAAGGGGCAAAAAACAAGCAUUUUUCUAGUUUCAUGACAAUAACUUGUUUGUAAGUGUAUGGAUCUUUAUGAAAUUGUACUACAAGGUUCCAUAUCACAAAGGGAAGGCUGGGAUUGAUUUUGGGGGUUUUCCCUCAAAAUUUUAGUAAUUAGGGGCCAUAAAAGGGCAAAAAAAACAUGCAUUUUUCUAGUUUCAGGACAAUAACUUGUGUGUAAGUGUAUGGAUCUUUAUGAAAUUGUACUGCAAGGUUCCAUAUCACAAAGGGAAAGCUGGAAUUGAGUUUGGGGGUAAUUGCCCUAAACGUUUAGGAAUUUUGGGCCAAAAAGGGGCCAAAAAACAAGCAUUUUUCUAGUUUCCAGACAAUAACUUGUGUUCAAGUGUAUGAAUCUCUCUGAAAUUGUACUGCAAGGUACCAUACCACAAAGGGAAAGCUGGGAUUGAGUUUGGGGGUGAUGAAUCAUAAGGGGGUUCAAAAAAUUGGGGGGGGAUUUAUUUUUCCUUUUUUUUCUUUAACAUUUUCCAUUUUAAAUUGGUUAUUUCUGAUUUAUAUAUAAAAGCAAAUAAUAAUGAUAUGGUUUGAAUAGGCAUACAUGUGAACCUCCCGACGGGAGUACAAUAAUCCCGUUUUCAGGGGUCUCCUCCCGACCUCCCGUUGAAGAGGAAAAAAUCCCGUGUAUGAAAUUUUUCAUGAAUGAAAAAUUUCUGCCCAACAUAUCAUCUCAGGCAUCUGGUGUAACUGACAUUACCUGAAGUUAUAUUUUACCUGUAAAUCAAUUAACAUGCAUAAUUAUAUGGCUUCACUUGUCAGCUUGGGUGUCAAACAUACAGGUAAUCAACGAUUUUUACCUCAGGCUAACUGCCGUUGUGUAACAAAAACUGUGUAUUUAUUGGGUUACUUCCCUUGAUUUAUCCUGUUUUAAGUUACUUUCCUUUUAAUAAUGAAAAUUUUUAAAAGAAUAUAAAUAAAAUAUAAAUUGAACAAAUAAUCAUAAAAGGAUGGUUAUUAAAUGAUUUUAAAUGUCUUAGGACAAAUAAAAAAAUAAUAAUUUGAAAAUUAUUUGAGGAUUCUAGACUUCCUUUCAAGGCUUAAAUUGAAAUUUAUAUAAUAACUAUGACCCUAAUUUUACAGAUAAAAUGAUUUUCUGAGUUUGCAAAUAAAAACUAU
Mytilus californianus (California mussel) is the source of this 1770-nucleotide long non-coding RNA. RefSeq lists it as uncharacterized. The transcript has 2 exons. The record is from RefSeq and is a predicted model, not a curated record. Lineage: Eukaryota; Metazoa; Mollusca; Bivalvia; Mytilida; Mytilidae.